RNAcentral lists this unclassified non-coding RNA (229 nucleotides) under uncultured fungus. RNAcentral describes it as "sequence contains ITS1, 5.8S rRNA gene". The stretch from base 181 to 229 matches the Rfam family "5.8S ribosomal RNA", at positions 1 to 49 of the family's 154-position model. The record is from RNAcentral. Lineage: Eukaryota; Fungi.
UCUCCGUAGGUGAACCUGCGGAGGGAUCAUUACCGAGUGAGGGUCCUUGUGGCCCGACCUCCAACCCCCUGUCUUCCGACUCUGUUGCCUCGGGGGCAACCCGGCCUUCGUGUGUCGGGGCCCCCGGUGGACCACCCAACCCUGCAUCGUUGCGUCUGAGUCGAAAUAUAAACAAAUCAAAACGUUCAACAACGGAUCUCUUGGUUCUGGCAUCGAUGAAGAACGCAGC